AUCCGAAUGUGAAGGUGUUCAUCACUCAUGGUGGAUUAUUGAGUACAACAGAAACUAUCUACCAUGGCGUGCCCAUUCUCGCUCUACCCAUUUUUGGAGACCAGAAAAUGAAUGCAGCACAUGCAGUUGCAGGAGGAUUUGCGUUAUCGCUGUCAAUAUCCAAGAUUACUGAAGACGAUAUCUCUGAUGCAUUAAAUCAACUCUUAAAUGAUCCCAAGUACAGGGAAAAUGCCAAAAAGAGAUCAGCUUUGAUGCAUGACCGUCAAGUGAAACCCAUGGAUCUUGCGAUUUACUGGAUAGAAUACGUUAUCCGAAACAAAGGAGCACCGCAUCUGAGGGUGGCUGCCCUGAACUUAACGUGGUAUCAAUAUUUAUUGCUAGAUAUUAUUUCAGUAGUUCUGAUCAUUGGUAUCAUUUUGAUGUUUGUUUCGUAUUUAUUGAUGAAAAAGUUAUGUUUGUCAAGAAAAAGUGACAUGAAAAUCAAAAGUAAUUGAGAGUUAGAUGUGAACAUCCUGAAGGUAGUUCCUUAUGAUACCUAAUCACCUCACUAUUUUGAAUAAAGAAGUAUUUCGUGUAUUCAACAGGAAUCUCCUUAUCAGUGAUUCAGAAAAUGUUAAAAGGAAUGUUAAUGAAUAAAAGAGAAUUGGAACUUUCUAUAAGGACUAAUGUAAUGAACCAUCGUUAGUUUAUUGUAUAAGUUUGAAAAUGUCCUUAGGAUGAAACUGCAGUAACGUUAGUUACAAAUAAAAGUGGUUAAUAACAUAGAAAGUUCAUAUUCUCUUUUCUUCGUUAUGAUUCCCUACUACGUAGUAAGAGCUGCAUCCAUCAAUUUUUUCUUCUAAGGAAUGUUAAAUAAAAUUUUGAAAGCAAAACA
This is a long non-coding RNA of Leptinotarsa decemlineata (Colorado potato beetle), 874 nucleotides long. NCBI's taxonomy places the organism in Eukaryota, Metazoa, Arthropoda, Insecta, Coleoptera, Chrysomelidae. The record is from RefSeq and is a predicted model, not a curated record.